AAAGUCGUAACAAGGUUUCCGUAGGUGAACCUGCGGAAGGAUCAUUACCGAAUUGUCAAAGGGGGGGCUGUCGCUGGCCUCUCUCAUCUGAGAGACACGUGCACGUCCCUUCUCACAUCCAUUCACACCUGUGCACCCCUUGUAGUCUUUGAGCGGAGAGGAUGGCCUGCCGGGUCCCCUCAAUGCUUGGGGAACUAUGUCUCUUUACAAACACCUUUCGUACAGAAUGUCAAAUUAGCGCAUACACAUGCGAAAUGCAAAACAACUUUCAGCAACGGAUCUCUUGGCUCUC
RNAcentral lists this unclassified non-coding RNA (292 nucleotides) under Basidiomycota sp. RNAcentral's name for it is "partial contains small subunit ribosomal RNA, internal transcribed spacer 1, and 5.8S ribosomal RNA". The stretch from base 1 to 47 matches the Rfam family "Eukaryotic small subunit ribosomal RNA", at positions 1785 to 1831 of the family's 1831-position model. The record is from RNAcentral. Lineage: Eukaryota; Fungi; Basidiomycota.